GAUGAACGCUGGCGGCGUGCCUAAUACAUGCAAGUCGAGCGAACGGACGAGAAUCUUGCUUUUCUGAUGUUAGCGGCGGACGGGUGAGUAACACGUGGAUACCCUCCCUAUAAGACUGGGAUAACUUCGGGAAACCGGAGCUAAUACCGUAUAAUCUUUUGCACCGCAUGGUUCAAAAGUGAAAGACGGUCUUGCUGUCACUUCUAGCUGGAUCCGCGCUGCAUUAGCUAGUUGGUAAGGUAACGGCUUACCAAGGCAACGAUGCAUAGCCGACCUGAGAGGGGGAUCGGCCACAUGGGAGCGGAGACACGGUCCAGACUCCUACGGGAGGCAGCAGUAGGGAAUCUUCCGCAAUGGGCGAAAGCCUGACGGAGCAAGGCCGCGUGAGUGAUGAAGGUCUUCGGAUCGUAAAACUCUGUUAUUAGGGAAGAACAGAUGUGUAAGUAACUGUGCAGAGCUUGACGGUACCUAAUCAGAAAGCCACGGCUAACUACGUG
This 497-nucleotide ribosomal RNA is filed under the name uncultured bacterium. RNAcentral's name for it is "partial 16S ribosomal RNA". It matches the Rfam family "Bacterial small subunit ribosomal RNA", at positions 28 to 507 of the family's 1533-position model. The record is from RNAcentral.